CCUAUGGGUUGCAGCAGUGAGGAAUCUUGGUCAAUGGGCGCGAGCCUGAACCAGCCAAGUAGCGUGAAGGAUUACUGCCCUACGGGUUGUAAACUUCUUUUAUAAAGGAAUAAAGUGAGGCACGUGUGCCUUUUUGUAUGUACUUUAUGAAUACGGAUCGGCUAACUCCGUGCCAGCCGCCGCGGUAAUACGGAGGAUCCGAGCGUUAUCCGGAUUUCUUGGGUUUAAAGGGAGCGUAGAUGGGUUGUUCAGUCAGUUGUGAAAGUUUGCGGCUCAACCGUAAAAUUGCAAUUGAUACUGGCAGCCUUGAGUACAGUUGAGGUAGGCGGAAUUCGUGGUGUAGCGGUGAAAUGCUUAGAUAUCACGAAGAACUCCGAUUGCGAAGGCAGCCUACUAAACUGCCUCUGACAUUGAUGCUCGAAAGUGUGGGUAUCAAACAGGAUUAGAUACCCCGGUAGUC
Molecule: ribosomal RNA, 460 nt
Filed under: uncultured bacterium
Lineage: Bacteria
Description: partial 16S ribosomal RNA
Rfam family: Bacterial small subunit ribosomal RNA
Source: RNAcentral